UCUGCACCCAAACCCAAAGAUCUCAUCUCCUCAGUGGUGUGAUCCUGUCUGGAGUGCAAACAGGAAGUGAUCCUUGUCGCCUUUCUCUGCUGCUGCUGUGCCUCUGAAAGUGAAUCCAAGGUUCAACACCU
Small nucleolar RNA from Acanthochromis polyacanthus (spiny chromis), 131 nucleotides. Lineage: Eukaryota; Metazoa; Chordata; Actinopteri; Pomacentridae. The record is from Ensembl.